This 3086-nucleotide unclassified non-coding RNA is filed under the name Aphidius gifuensis. RNAcentral's name for it is "calcium/calmodulin-dependent protein kinase type II alpha chain, transcript variant X12". The record is from RNAcentral. Lineage: Eukaryota; Metazoa; Arthropoda; Insecta; Hymenoptera; Braconidae.
UCCAAAAAAAAAAAAAUUUUUUACAACAUCAAAUUGAUUAUCAUAAAUAUUUAAAAUAAUAAUAAAUAUUAUUAUUUAUGCAGAAAUAUUUAAUAAUAAUAAUAAUAAUUUCUUAAAUAAAUAAAUAAAACAAUUGAAAAUAAAAAUUUAGUCGAAAAAAAAAAAAAAAAAAAGGGAUUGUAGCCCUCUCGGUUGUAUGAUUAUUGGCUGCGCGAGUUUACCAACCGGCGACGACAAACGUCGACGAAUAACAGACGACGACGACGACGGCAGGCGCACUGUGUAUUAAAAACAAAAAAAAACUACGUGAGUCAGUCGACGGUCUGCCGGCAAUCGGUGCAGAUGUUUUGACAUUAACUCUUCAAUUUUAUUAUUAUUAUUAUUGAUAAAAAAAAUUAAAUUGUGUGUGCUCCAAUAUUGCUGUUAGACACAUAAAAUUGUAUUGUGAUUUUUUUCAUCUAUUGAGUAAAUGUGAAAAAUAAUUAACAAACAAUCAUAUAUUUUUAUGUAUUUUUUUUUUUUUCACUAUUUAAUUUAUUGAUAAUAUUUUAGAAUUUUUCGAGAAAAAAAAACAAAUUGAAGAAUUUAUUUAUUGUUUAGUGUGUUUAGAAUAAAUUUUUGAAAAUUACAACUGAUCAGUAUGGCUGCUCCAGUUGCGAGCACACGAUUCAGUGACAACUAUGAUCUCAAAGAGGAGCUUGGAAAAGGUGCUUUUUCCGUUGUACGAAGAUGCGUACAAAAAAGUACUGGAUUAGAAUUUGCAGCAAAAGUCAUCAAUACUAAAAAAUUAUCGCAAAGAGAUUUUCAAAAGCUCGAACGAGAAGCUCGGAUAUGUAGGAAAUUACAGCAUCCAAAUAUUGUUCGAUUACACGAAAGUAUACAAGAGGAAAAUUGCCACUACCUUGUUUUCGAUCUAGUCACUGGUGGUGAACUUUUCGAGGACAUUGUCGCACGAGAAUUUUACAGUGAAGCAGAUGCUUCACAUUGUAUACAACAAAUUUUGGAAAGUGUACAUCACUGUCAUCACAAUGGAAUUGUGCACAGGGAUCUCAAACCAGAAAAUCUUUUGCUUGCAAGUAAAGCAAAAGGUGCAGCUGUGAAGCUAGCAGAUUUUGGAUUAGCAAUUGAAAUGCAGGGUGAUGCACAAGCGUGGUAUGGUUUUGCUGGUACGCCUGGAUAUUUGAGUCCUGAAGUAUUGAAAAAAGAACCAUAUGGUAAACCAGUUGAUAUUUGGGCAUGUGGUGUUAUAUUGUACAUUCUUCUUGUUGGUUAUCCACCAUUUUGGGAUGAGGAUCAACAUCGAUUAUAUGGACAAAUUAAAGCUGGUGCAUAUGAUUAUCCAAGCCCUGAAUGGGACACUGUAACACCUGAAGCAAGAAAUCUUAUUAAUCAAAUGUUAACUGUCAAUCCAUCAAGGCGUAUUACUGCAAGUGAAGCCCUUAGGCAUCCGUGGAUUUGCCAACGUGAACGUGUGGCUUCAGUCGUACACAGACAAGAAACUGUCGAUUGCUUGAAGAAAUUCAAUGCAAGGCGCAAAUUAAAGGGCGCUAUUUUAACAACAAUGUUGGCGACGAGGAAUUUUUCCAGUAAGUAUGAUCCACAGGCUCGAAGCAUCAUCACGAAAAAAGGAGAUGGAUCACAAGUCAAGGAGUCAACUGAUAGCAGUACCACUAUUGAAGAUGAUGAUGUCAAAGAGGAUAAGAAGGGCGGCGUCGACCGGAGCAGCACGGUCAUUGCCAAAGAACCCGAAGCUUACGCGUCACAAGGCACACCGCCAAAUAGUCCCGCGGCCGGUUCAAUAUUCUCCAGAGUUAUCGGUGCUGCUACGGGAAAUAAACAACAACAACAGCAGCAACAACAACAACAGCAAAAUACAGGAAAUCCGUUAGGCAUUGCUGCUGUUUUACUUCAGGGUGCACAAGCUGGAAAUGGAAGUACCAAUGGAAGCAACAGUAGCAGUCCAAGUAGUGGAAGUAUCAACAGCCAGAAUAGUCAAACAGGCUUAUCACCUUCUACAGCAUCAACAGUCUACGUCACCAAUAUCAACAACACACAAAGACGAAACAACUCUUCGUCAACCGAGAGUGAUGAGACUGGUCAGUGUGCACCAAAGAUUACUUUGAGUUUCUGUCAACUUGUCGCCAAGGGGGAUGACGGUAAGGAGGACAUUUGUUUGAUGGCUGCUGACCAUAAACCAAGAAAAUCGCUGGAAAUAAAUGACGACAAUAUGUGCCCUAUUUUUCGAUGUUGUUGUUUAUCCUGAAAUAUAUGAAAAAUUUAAUUUAAAAAUAAACAAAAUUGCGCACACUCGAUUGCAUCGCUAUAAUAAAAAUAUUUAUGACAAAAAUAAAUGAAAUUAAAAAUAUUAUUAUAAAGGAAAAUAUUUAAAAAAAAAAACAAUAUAAAAUACACAUAGGAAUUAAUAUAACAUAAAUAUCGUAAUUAGAAAUUAGUUUUAGAAAAAAAAAAUACAUACAUUAACAUGAUAAAUGUUAAAUUAAUAUUAAUUUUAAUUUUAUUCUUCACGAAUGUACACGAUAUUAGUUGGGAAAAGAAAAAGAAAAAAAAAUACAUGAAUAUAUUUAAAAUAAAAUAGUUAAAAUAUAUUUUGUGUAAAUGUUUGUUGUAGAAGUAUUUUUGUAAAUGUUGAGUUCACUCGUCUUUGCAAAAUUUCGCGAAUAAAAUUUUUAAAAAAUUAAAAAGGUGAAGACAAUCGAUACACAAUUUUCAAAAAAAUUUGGAAUGCGCGAUGAUCAAUUUUAUAAUUAAAAAAAAAUAAUAAUAAUUACAAUAAAAUUGAGAUGGUUUAUAAAUAAAAAUAAAAAAUAUGAUCCUCGCGGAUCCCACGCCAUUCGAUUGCUUGGCGCAAAGCAUAAGAAAAUGCUGUAUAAAUAAUUUUUUAAAUUAAUAAAAAAUGUGUUUUAAUGAGGAAGGUAUAUGCUUGUAGAAAUAAGAAUCAUGUGUCCCGUCAAGACCUGCAGUCAGCUAUCAACAAACUCGCAAUGCUCAGCACGUCGUCAAGAAAUAAUCAAGAUGACUGAACAACUUAUUGAGAGUAUCAACACUGGUGAUUUUGAAGGCUACAC